AUUGAACGCUGGCGGCAUGCCUUACACAUGCAAGUCGAACGGCAGCACGGGUGCUUGCACCUGGUGGCGAGUGGCGAACGGGUGAGUAAUACAUCGGAACAUGUCCUGUGGUGGGGGAUAGCCCGGCGGAAGCCGGAUUAAUACCGCAUACGAUCUACGGAUGAAAGCGGGGGCCCGUCGGGCCUCGCGCUAUAGGGUUGGCCGAUGGCUGAUUAGCUAGUUGGAGGGGUAAAGGCCUACCAAGGCGACGAUCAGUAGCUGGUCUGAGAGGACGACCAGCCACACUGGGACUGAGACACGGCCCAGACUCCUACGGGAGGCAGCAGUGGGGAAUUUUGGACAAUGGGCGAAAGCCUGAUCCAGCAAUGCCGCGUGUGUGAAGAAGGCCUUCGGGUUGUAAAGCACUUUUGUCCGGAAAGAAAUCCUUGGCCCUAAUACGGUCGGGGGAUGACGGUACCGGAAGAAUAAGCACCGGCUAACUACGUG
This 486-nucleotide ribosomal RNA is filed under the name uncultured bacterium. RNAcentral describes it as "partial 16S ribosomal RNA". It matches the Rfam family "Bacterial small subunit ribosomal RNA", at positions 29 to 507 of the family's 1533-position model. The record is from RNAcentral.